ACUUUUAAUGGACAUUAGCAGCCCGA
This 26-nucleotide transfer RNA is filed under the name Agama boueti (Mali agama). RNAcentral's name for it is "partial tRNA-Leu". The record is from RNAcentral. Lineage: Eukaryota; Metazoa; Chordata; Lepidosauria; Squamata; Agamidae.